UGGGUGGCGAGUGGCGGACGGGUGAGUAACGCGUGGGAAUCUGCCCAAUAGUGGGGGACAACCCGACGAAAGUCGGGCUAAUACCGCAUACGCCCCAUGGGGGAAAGGCUUCGGCCGCUAUUGGAUGAGCCCGCGUCCGAUUAGCUAGUUGGUGAGGUAAUGGCUCACCAAGGCGACGAUCGGUAGCUGGUCUGAGAGGACGAUCAGCCACACUGGGACUGAGACACGGCCCAGACUCCUACGGGAGGCAGCAGUGGGGAAUACUGCACAA
Molecule: ribosomal RNA, 271 nt
Filed under: uncultured bacterium
Lineage: Bacteria
Description: partial 16S ribosomal RNA
Rfam family: Bacterial small subunit ribosomal RNA
Source: RNAcentral